Non-coding RNA from Nothobranchius furzeri (turquoise killifish), 3116 nucleotides. Lineage: Eukaryota; Metazoa; Chordata; Actinopteri; Cyprinodontiformes; Nothobranchiidae. The record is from RefSeq and is a predicted model, not a curated record.
UACCAGCUGACAGAAGUUCAGGUCGGCUGGAGCGGAAAACAGUUUCCUUUGAAUGACUCGGAUUUGUUCGCGUUUCUUUUACUCAAACACAAAGGGCGAGGUGCUUUAUGAAGCAGAAAGCUUUGAUCUGAAAGUUCGGUUUUUAAUAGUUUGGCUGGAUUUAAUGUACUAGUUCCUGUGAUUUACACCUCCCCUGAUACCGGCUGGGUGUAGCCGUGCUGCUGGCACGCCUCCAGCUCUGGAGGAGGAGGCGUUCAUCCUGACCUCCGCUGCCCGGCUGUGUCCCACCAUGGCCCGGGGUUGAGACCCGUGAUAUGGACCAUGCUUUGGAAGGUGUUUCACCCGAGGAGCUCACACUUUCGUGAAAGCCUCGAUAAGAACUCAAACAUUUUAUAUUGUUAUUUAUUUUUAUCCUUCUGUCAACACUCGGCCCUCCUGGGGAGGACGCAGCGUGUGGGUCUCCCAGAGAAACUUGUUUCAGAGCUUUGCUGGAUUGACUCCUCCGGCAGUAAUGGCCACUGCCAGGCUUGAUUAUGUCGCUCCGUGGUGGACAUACUGGCUGCACAACUUUCCACACUUCAAUCUUCGUUUCCAGCCGGUGAACAACACUUUCCAGCCGGAGGAGGCGAGCUACCAGCAGUCUGUAAUAUUUCUGGCGUGCGUUGGUGCAGUGGGUGCUAGCUUGAGCCUGCUUGUCCUGGCGGUGUACCUGGUGUGUUUGUGCUGCUGCAGAAGGAAAGGGGAUGAAGACACCAAAAGGCCUGAUACCUGCUGUGUCACCUGGGUUGCUGUUGUCACAGGACUCGUCAUAUGUUCUGCUGUAGGAGUGGGUUUCUAUGGAAACAGCCAGACCAACGAUGGUGUCUACCAGCUGACCUACUCCCUCUACAGUGCCAAUCACACACUGGAUGGCAUCAACAGUAUGGUUGCUGGAUCUGUGAGCAACAUUGAAAAUAAACUUAAGCAGCACCUCGAACGUCUGGAUGAGAUCUUUGCUGCUCGAGCCGACUACAUCCAAUCUCUGCGCUUCAUACGGCUGAUGGUUAACAACAUCAUCCAGGAGUUGACUGCAUUACCAAACAUCAGCCAAACUAAAGUCUACUUGGCAGCCUUUGCAGAGAAGACAGCAUUCAUUGAGUAUUACAGAUGGCUGAUUUAUCUGUUGCUGCUGAUCCUUGAUCUGGUCAUCUGCUUGGGCAUGUGUUUGGGGAUUGCCAAGCAGUCUCAAUGCCUUCUCAUCACGAUCAUGGGUUUUGUUGUUCUGUCCUUGAUUCUGAGCUGGGCUUCACUGGGAACUGGCACUGCUACAGCUGUGGUCACCAGCGACUUCUGUGUGUCUCCAGUCAGGUAUAUUGUCAACCAAACCCAGGAUUUCCUCAGUGCAGAUAUCGCACACUAUUAUUUGUUCUGCAGUCCAAAUCUACAAAACCCCUUUCAGCAGUCACUGACAAUCUGUCAGCGUUCUCUCACCACCAUGCAAAUCCAGAUCCAGGGCUUGCUGAGAUUUUCUGUGCCAGUUUUUCCCGCUGCUCAGAGAGACCUUUUAGGGAUCCAGCGGCUGUUAAACUCCACUGAGUUCAGUGUGCACCAGCUAACAGCGCUGCUUGAUUGCCGUGGGAUACGAAAGGACUACCUGGAUGCCCUGAUGGGUGUGUGCUACGAUGGGGUGGAAGGUCUCCUCUACCUCUCUUUGUUUUCUCUCCUGUCUGCCUGCGCGCUCUCAGCCAUGCUGUGUGUGAUUUUCCGCUUGUGGACAUUAAUGGGCAGCAGGGAAAAGGAGUACAACGACAUCGAUGCGGAGGAUCCAUUCAAUCCACAAGCACGUCGGCUCUCAUACAACCCUCAAAGAUCCAACACGCACAGUUUCUGUAGCUACAUCAGCAGCCUUGGCAGUCAGGCCAGUCUGCAUCCACCUCCUCAAUCUACUUCUAAUUCUACCAUACCACCUCCUGAAUACAUGAAUCAGUCGAUGCUGUUUGGAGAGGUGCCUCGGUAUGAGAAUGUGCCACUGAUAAGGAGAGGAUCCCCGCCUCCUUCGGUUCGUUGGCCUUAUGAGGCUUUAGUAUCGUUAGUGUGAUGAUGAUGCUGAUGAAGAGGGUGGUGGCACUGACUGGAAACAGUCAUACUAGACACUAGCCCACAGCUUUCCUGGACCACCAUGUAGACACCUUCAUCUUUGUGCAUGUGAUGGAAGACUGAUCUCUACUGGAUGUUUAUGGAAGUGCAUUUUUAUUAUAAUACCGAGCUCCCUUUUACUUUACUCAUUCUGAUUGUUUUUCAAACAUUUAUCUUCCAUGUAAAUUUGUCUGUGCUUCAAAAGCAUAAAAUCAGCUUAUUUGUCUUCAACCUCAGAGUGGGUUUCCACUUUUAACUCACCGUGUAGCCCGUUGUGUCUACGGAGCUAGGGCUAAAUUACAGAAAACAGAUGGAGUACAGAAAAAUACACAGUCUAAGGGUCUGCUGUGCAGGGUUUUUCUUGCUGUGAAGUUUUCUGCUUCCGUGGCUUCAGCCGUCCUCAGCGUACCAAAGACUUCCUUUUAGAGUGAGAGAAGGCAGAAAAGAAUCUGGAACAUCGUUUAAAGUGUGUCUGCCUCAGUGAGGCGGCUUCCAACAGGCAUAGACAUCGGUUUUCUGGUGUAUCUGUGACAGAGCUGCUUGAAAACCUGGUGGUGGUGGGGGGGGGGGGGGUUCAAUAAAUGCUGCAUUUUGUGCCUUGUCUCUGUUUGUUUUGAUGAGCAUUUUGUGUGUGUGUGUGUGUGUGUGUGUGUGUGUGUGUGUGUGUGUGUGUGUGCGCGCGCGUGUGCGUGUGUGUGUGUGUGUGUGUGUGUGUGUGUGUGUGUGUGUGUGAGCAGUUUCUCAGUACUGAAGUGAAGCUGUACGUUGGAAUACUUUUGUUAUUUUCGUGUUUUCUGUGAUUUUUCUGCACACGUCUAUCUCUGAACUCACUUUCAUCCUUUCAUUUACUGUAAAUUUGUUAGCCCAGCUUUGACUUCCUGGCACUGUUUUGCCAGCUGAGAUUUGCAUUACUCCCCCAGUAUGAGGACAACUUACCUGUCUAUGACCGAUGCCCAGAUUAGACGUUUUGGGACCGACUUUCAGGUGUAGCCUGCUACCCA